Molecule: ribosomal RNA, 495 nt
Filed under: uncultured bacterium
Lineage: Bacteria
Description: partial 16S ribosomal RNA
Rfam family: Bacterial small subunit ribosomal RNA
Source: RNAcentral
GACGAACGCUGGCGGCGCGCUUAACACAUGCAAGUCGAACGGAAAGGCCUGCUUUCCCUUGUGGAUUGCGGGUACUCGAGUGGCGAACGGGUGAGUAACACGUGAGUGAUCUGCCCCCAACUUGGGUAUAAGCCUGGGAAACUGGGUCUAAUUCCCGAUAGGACUGCAGGGUGGUGCCUGUGGUGGAAAACGAUUUUCUAGUGGUUGGGGAUGAGCUCGCGGCCUAUCAGCUUGUUGGUGGGGUAAUGGCCUACCAAGGCGGCGACGGGUAGCCGGCCUGAGAGGGUGGACGGCCACAUUGGGACUGAGAUACGGCCCAGACUCCUACGGGAGGCAGCAGUGGGGAAUAUUGCACAAUGGGCGGAAGCCUGAUGCAGCGACGCCGCGUGGGGGAUGACGGCCUUCGGGUUGUAAACUCCUUUCGACCGCGAGGAAGCCACCUGGUGGGAAGGGUGGUGACGGUAGUGGUAGAAGAAGCACCGGCUAACUACGUGC